This 1457-nucleotide ribosomal RNA is filed under the name Helcystogramma macroscopa. Its description in RNAcentral is "16S ribosomal RNA". The record is from RNAcentral. Lineage: Eukaryota; Metazoa; Arthropoda; Insecta; Lepidoptera; Gelechiidae.
GGGGAAAAAUUAAUAAAUAAUAAUUAAUAAUAAAAGAAUUUUUAAAAUUUAAUUUAAAAAUAUUUAAUGGGGGUUAAAGUAUUUUUAAAGAAAAAAUUUAAAAUUUUAUAGUUAAAUAGUAUUGUAAAAGAAUUUUGAAAUAAAAAUGAAAUAUUUAAUUAAUAUUAAAGUAAUUUUAGUUUGGUGUAUCUUGUGUAUCAGAGUUUAUUAAAUAAUUUUUUUUUAUUUAAAUAAUUCCCCAAUUUAAAAAAAUUAAUUAAUUAAUAAAUUUUUUGGUGAAAAAAUAUUUUAAAAAAUUAAUUUAAAAUGAAAUGGUAAACCUUUUUAAAUAAAUCCAGUUUUUUUAAAAAAAAAUUUAAUUUUUAAUUUAAAAUUAAAAAAAAUUUAAAAAAGGGGGGAUUAAAUUUUUAAUAAAAUUUAUAAAUUUAAUAAUUUAAGGGAUAAACCUUAAAUUAAAUUUUUAUAAUAAAUUUUUAAUUUUAAAUAUUUUGAAAUUUUUAUAAUUUAAAUUGGUAAUAAAUUUUAAAUUUUUAUAAAUAAUUUCCUUAAAAUUUUUAAUAAAAUUUUAAAAAAAAUUUUAUUUUUUAUAAAAAAAAUUUUUUUUAUUUAUAUUAAAUAUAAUAUAAAGAUAAAAUUUGUAUUUUAUAUUAUAUUUAUAAUAAUUUAAGUAAGAAAAAUGUAAAAUUAAUUAAAAGGGGUUCGGCAAAAUUUUAUUCUCACUUGUUUAUCACAAACAUGUCUUUUUGUUAAUAAUUUAAAGUUUUCUCCCCCCCCUGUUUUUAAAAAAUAAAGGGCCGCAGUAAUUUGUCUGCACAAAGGUAGCAGACUCUUUUGUCUUUUAGUUGGUGGCUUGUAUGAGAGGGUGGAAGAAAUAUAAUCUCUCUUUUAAAUAUAAAAUAAAAUUUUUUUUUUUUAUUAAAAAAUAAAAAUAAAUUUAAAGGGCGGGCCCCCCCUAUAGAGUUUUUUUUUUUUUUAAAUAUUAUUUUUUUUUAGAUUUAUAUAUAUAUAUAUAUAUAUAUAUAAUUAAUAUUAUAAUUUAAUAAAAUAUUUUAUUGGGGUGAUAAAAAAAUUAAAUAAACUUUUUUUAAAUUAUUUAAAACAAUAAUAAUUGAAUAAAAGAUCCAAAAUUUUUGAUUGAAAGAUAUAAUUACCUUAGGGAUAACAGCGUAAUUUUUUUUUUUAGUUCAUAUAAAAAAAAGAGUUUGCGACCUCGAUGUUGGAUUAAGAUAAAAUUUAAAUGCAAAAGUUUAAAAUUUUGAUCUGUUCGAUCAUUAAAAUCUUACAUGAUCUGAGUUCAAACCGGUGUGAGCCAGGUUGGUUUCUAUCUUUAUAAAAAUAAAAUAUUUUAGUACGAAAGGAUCAAAUAUUUAAAAUAAUUUUUAUUAAUUUAUUGAAUAUUAUUAAAUUUAAAUAUUAAAAAUUUUUAUUUAAUGAUUAUAUAUAUAUAUAUAUAUUAC